CCUACGGGAGGCUGCAGUGGGGAAUCUUCCGCAAUGGGCGAAAGCCUGACGCAGCAACGCCGCGUGAACGAAUGAAGGCCUUCGGGUUGUAAAGAUCUGUUGCCAGGGGCGAAUAAGCAAUGCGAAUAGUUUUGUGUAUGACGGUACCUGUUUAGAAAGCUCCCGCUAACUACGUGCCAGCCGCCGCGGUAAUACGGAGGGAGCAAGCGUUGUCCGGAAUUACUGGGGGUAAAGGGCGCGUAGGUGGGCGCUUAAGUCAGGUGUGAAAGCGCCGGGCUCAACCUGGAGACUGCAAUUGAAACUGGGUGUCUUGAGUGCAGGAGAGGAAAGUGGAAUUCCUAGUGUAGCGGUGAAAUGCGUAGAUAUUAGGAGGAACACCAGUGGCGAAGGCGACUUUCUGGACUGUACCUGACGCUGAGGCGCGAAAGCGUGGGUAGCGAACGGGAUUAGAUACCCGGGUAGUC
RNAcentral lists this ribosomal RNA (464 nucleotides) under uncultured bacterium. RNAcentral describes it as "partial 16S ribosomal RNA". It matches the Rfam family "Bacterial small subunit ribosomal RNA", at positions 338 to 795 of the family's 1533-position model. The record is from RNAcentral.